CGGAGGGUGCAAGCGUUAUCCGGAAUCAUUGGGUUUAAAGGGUCCGCAGGCGGAUUUAUAAGUCAGUGGUGAAAGCCUAUAGCUCAACUAUAGAACUGCCAUUGAUACUGUAAGUCUUGAAUUCGGUCGAAGUGGGCGGAAUAUGACAUGUAGCGGUGAAAUGCUUAGAUAUGUCAUAGAACACCGAUAGCGAAGGCAGCUCACUAGGCCUGGAUUGACGCUCAGGGACGAAAGCGUGGGGAGCAAACAGGAUU
Molecule: ribosomal RNA, 254 nt
Filed under: uncultured bacterium
Lineage: Bacteria
Description: partial 16S ribosomal RNA
Rfam family: Bacterial small subunit ribosomal RNA
Source: RNAcentral